AAUCUUUGUAAGUGACUCAUACUUUGGUUUGACUUUGGGUUUGAUGGUAUGAACUUGAACAGAUCGACCAAAUUGUUAGGCCUUACCACCUGGCCAUCCUUAUCCUCUUCAUCCUUGUCACGUCUGAAGUCAUAUCCUCAAAAUGCCUCAAUUUUUGACUUUGCUGGGCUUCUAAGAUAAUGAUAAAAUUUAUUACGAUGUUGAAUAUGUGAAUCCGACUCAUUUAACUGAAGUGCAAUUUUGAAGCAAGCAGAGAUGAUUGACUUAAUUUUUCAAAGU
This 279-nucleotide long non-coding RNA is filed under the name Elaeis guineensis (African oil palm). RNAcentral's name for it is "long non-coding RNA (EGUI_LNC024586)". The record is from RNAcentral. Lineage: Eukaryota; Viridiplantae; Streptophyta; Magnoliopsida; Arecales; Arecaceae.